RNAcentral lists this ribosomal RNA (324 nucleotides) under uncultured bacterium. RNAcentral describes it as "bacterial SSU rRNA". It matches the Rfam family "Bacterial small subunit ribosomal RNA", at positions 28 to 334 of the family's 1533-position model. The record is from RNAcentral.
GAUGAACGCUGGCGGCGUGCUUAACACAUGCAAGUCGAACGAAGCAUUUCACCUGAUUUUUUCGGAAAGAGGGUGGUCUGACUGAGUGGCGGACGGGUGAGUAACGCGUGGGCAACCUGCCCCAUACCGGGGGAUAACAGCCGGAAACGGCUGCUAAUACCGCAUAAGCGCACAGCGCCGCAUGGCGCGGUGUGAAAAACUCCGGUGGUAUGGGAUGGGCCCGCGUCUGAUUAGCCAGUUGGCGGGGCAGCGGCCCACCAAAGCGACGAUCAGUAGCCGACCUGAGAGGGUGACCGGCCACAUUGGGACUGAGACACGGCCCAA